RNAcentral lists this ribosomal RNA (433 nucleotides) under Reticulitermes hesperus. RNAcentral describes it as "partial 12S ribosomal RNA". Lineage: Eukaryota; Metazoa; Arthropoda; Insecta; Blattodea; Rhinotermitidae. The record is from RNAcentral.
CGACUUAUCUCAUUAACAAAUAAAACGAGAGCGACGGGCGAUGUGUACAUAUCUCAGAACCAAUUAUCACAAAAACAAUCUUCAAAACAUUACAAUCAAAUCCAAUUUCAUGCUAGUAAUUAAAACCAACAAUCCAAAUAAAACAAAUAACAAUGUAACCCACCAAUACACUUAGAGAAAGCUGCACCUUGACCUGAAAUUAAACCAAAUAAAGGAACAAGAAAAUUAUAUAGCCCUAAAAAGAUAAUCAAUAAACGGCGGUAUACAAACCAAUAAACAACUAAGUAAGGUCCAACGUGGACUAUCGAUAACGAGACAGGUUCCUCUGAGCGGAAUAAGAUACCGCCAAAUUCUUUAAGUUUCAAGAACAUAACUAAUACUACUCAGGCAAAACAUUAACAUCCAAAAAUAAUAGGGUAUCUAAUCCUAGUUU